UACGGAAGGUGCAAGCGUUAAUCGUAAUCACUGGGCGUAAAGCGCACGUAGGCCGUCUCCUAAGUCGGGCGUGAAAGCCCUCGGCUCAACCGAGGAACUGCGCUCGAUACUGGGAGACUUGAGUUCUGGAGGGGGUGGCGGAAUUCCCGGUGUAGGAGUGAAAUCCGUAGAUAUCGGGAGGAACACCAGUGGCGAAGGCGGCCACCUGGACAGAUACUGACGCUGAGGUGCGAAAGCGUGGGGAGCAAACAGG
RNAcentral lists this ribosomal RNA (253 nucleotides) under uncultured bacterium. Its description in RNAcentral is "partial 16S ribosomal RNA". It matches the Rfam family "Bacterial small subunit ribosomal RNA", at positions 524 to 776 of the family's 1533-position model. The record is from RNAcentral.